Molecule: ribosomal RNA, 468 nt
Filed under: uncultured bacterium
Lineage: Bacteria
Description: partial 16S ribosomal RNA
Rfam family: Bacterial small subunit ribosomal RNA
Source: RNAcentral
GACGAACGCUGGCGGCGUGCUUAACACAUGCAAGUCGAACGGAAAGGCGCUGCUUUUGUGGGGGGCUCGAGUGGCGAACGGGAGAGUAACACGUGAGUAACCUGCCCUUGACUUUGGGAUAACUUCAGGAAACUGGGGCUAAUACCGGAUAGGAGCUCCUGCUGCAUGGUGGGGGUUGGAAAGUUUCGGCGGUUGGGGAUGGGGUCGCGGCUUAUCAGCCUGUUGGUGGGGUAGUGGCUUACCAAGGCUUUGACGGGUAGCCGGCCUGAGAGGGUGACCGGCCACAUUGGGACUGAGAUACGGCGCAGACUCGUACGGGAGGCAGCAGUGGGGAAUAUUGCACAAUGGGCGGACGCCUGAUGCAGCAGCGCCGCGUGCGGGAUGACGGCCUUCGGGUUGUAAACCGCUUUCGCCUGUGACGAAGCGUGAGUGACGGUAAUGGGUAAAGAAGCACCGGCUAACUACGUG